This 429-nucleotide ribosomal RNA is filed under the name bacterium. RNAcentral's name for it is "partial 16S ribosomal RNA". It matches the Rfam family "Bacterial small subunit ribosomal RNA", at positions 355 to 776 of the family's 1533-position model. The record is from RNAcentral.
CAGGGAAUCUUCGGCAAUGGGGGCAACCCUGACCGAGCAACGCCGCGUGAGUGAAGAAGGUUUUCGGAUCGUAAAGCUCUGUUGUAAGAGAAGAACGUGUGUGAGAGUGGAAAGUUCACACAGUGACGGUAACUUACCAGAAAGGGACGGCUAACUACGUGCCAGCAGCCGCAGUAAUACGUAGGUCCCGAGCGUUGUCCGGAUUUAUUGGGCGUAAAGCGAGCGCAGGCGGUUUAAUAAGUCUGAAGUUAAAGGCAGUGGCUUAACCAUUGUUCGCUUUGGAAACUGUUAAACUUGAGUGCAGAAGGGGAGAGUGGAAUUCCAUGUGUAGCGGUGAAAUGCGUAGAUAUAUGGAGGAACACCGGUGGCGAAAGCGGCUCUCUGGUCUGUAACUGACGCUGAGGCUCGAAAGCGUGGGGAGCAAACAGG